Molecule: non-coding RNA, 44 nt
Filed under: Spodoptera frugiperda (fall armyworm)
Lineage: Eukaryota; Metazoa; Arthropoda; Insecta; Lepidoptera; Noctuidae
Source: RNAcentral
AAUGUAGAAGUUUAAAAUGUAUAAAUUUUAAGCUACUACUGGUU